Molecule: microRNA precursor, 89 nt
Filed under: Podarcis lilfordi (Lilford's wall lizard)
Lineage: Eukaryota; Metazoa; Chordata; Lepidosauria; Squamata; Lacertidae
Source: RNAcentral
GAGCUGUGACCCCAAGAACAGUAUUUCCAGGAAUCCCCCUCUUAUCAUCUAAGGGAUUCCUGGGAAAACUGGACCCCGAGGACACAGUG